UUGAUAACUUAGUGGCGGACGGGUGAGUAACGCGUGGGUAACCUGCCGUAUACAGGGGGAUAACACUUAGAAAUAGGUGCUAAUACCGCAUAAGCGCACGGUUCCGCAUGGGACAGUGUGAAAAACCGAGGUGGUAUACGAUGGACCCGCGUCUGAUUAGCCAGUUGGCAGGGUAACGGCCUACCAAAGCGACGAUCAGUAGCCGACCUGAGAGGGCGGACGGCCACAUUGGGACUGAGACACGGCCCAAACUCCUACGGAAGGCAGCAG
RNAcentral lists this ribosomal RNA (270 nucleotides) under uncultured bacterium. Its description in RNAcentral is "partial 16S ribosomal RNA". It matches the Rfam family "Bacterial small subunit ribosomal RNA", at positions 84 to 354 of the family's 1533-position model. The record is from RNAcentral.